CUAGCUUUUUAGUCUCAUUUCAGCAAUUGAUGAGCUAGGAAAAAUAUAUAAAUGGGGGUUGAUGGAGGCAUUGAGUAAUUAAGGAAGGAUCAAAUGAAGUGGAGGAGUUGAGCGGUGGUACAUUUGGGGCAAUGUUGUACUUGUUUAGGGACCAUGAAAUACAUUAGACAGACCUUGCAACCAGCAACCACAAGUACUUGAUCAUCAUCAUCAUCAUCAUCUUCUUCCGUCGUGUUUUGAUGGUAUAAUUGUUCUUUCAUUGAAGAUGAAGCUCC
Molecule: long non-coding RNA, 275 nt
Filed under: Panax ginseng (ginseng)
Lineage: Eukaryota; Viridiplantae; Streptophyta; Magnoliopsida; Apiales; Araliaceae
Description: long non-coding RNA (PGIN_LNC004724)
Source: RNAcentral